CGUGUAGGCGGUCCAGAUAGGUCCGUUGUGAAAACUCGAGGCUCAACCUCGAGACGCCGAUGGAAACCAUUUGGCUAGAGUCCGGAAGAGGAGAGUGGAAUUCCUGGUGUAGCGGUGAAAUGCGCAGAUAUCAGGAAGAACACCCGUGGCUAAGGCGGCUCUCUAGUACGGUACUGACGCUGAGACGCGAAAGCGUGGGAGCGAACA
Molecule: ribosomal RNA, 207 nt
Filed under: uncultured bacterium
Lineage: Bacteria
Description: partial 16S ribosomal RNA
Rfam family: Bacterial small subunit ribosomal RNA
Source: RNAcentral